RNAcentral lists this ribosomal RNA (891 nucleotides) under Salmonella enterica. RNAcentral describes it as "partial 23S ribosomal RNA". It matches the Rfam family "Bacterial large subunit ribosomal RNA", at positions 1918 to 2808 of the family's 2925-position model. RNAcentral also lists the same sequence under 3 other names. The record is from RNAcentral. Lineage: Bacteria; Pseudomonadati; Pseudomonadota; Gammaproteobacteria; Enterobacterales; Enterobacteriaceae.
CCCCGGUAAACGGCGGCCGUAACUAUAACGGUCCUAAGGUAGCGAAAUUCCUUGUCGGGUAAGUUCCGACCUGCACGAAUGGCGUAAUGAUGGCCAGGCUGUCUCCACCCGAGACUCAGUGAAAUUGAACUCGCUGUGAAGAUGCAGUGUACCCGCGGCAAGACGGAAAGACCCCGUGAACCUUUACUAUAGCUUGACACUGAACAUUGAGCCUUGAUGUGUAGGAUAGGUGGGAGGCUUUGAAGUGUGGACGCCAGUCUGCAUGGAGCCGACCUUGAAAUACCACCCUUUAAUGUUUGAUGUUCUAACGUGGACCCGUAAUCCGGGUUGCGGACAGUGUCUGGUGGGUAGUUUGACUGGGGCGGUCUCCUCCUAAAGAGUAACGGAGGAGCACGAAGGUUGGCUAAUCCUGGUCGGACAUCAGGAGGUUAGUGCAAUGGCAUAAGCCAGCUUGACUGCGAGCGUGACGGCGCGAGCAGGUGCGAAAGCAGGUCAUAGUGAUCCGGUGGUUCUGAAUGGAAGGGCCAUCGCUCAACGGAUAAAAGGUACUCCGGGGAUAACAGGCUGAUACCGCCCAAGAGUUCAUAUCGACGGCGGUGUUUGGCACCUCGAUGUCGGCUCAUCACAUCCUGGGGCUGAAGUAGGUCCCAAGGGUAUGGCUGUUCGCCAUUUAAAGUGGUACGCGAGCUGGGUUUAGAACGUCGUGAGACAGUUCGGUCCCUAUCUGCCGUGGGCGCUGGAGAACUGAGGGGGGCUGCUCCUAGUACGAGAGGACCGGAGUGGACGCAUCACUGGUGUUCGGGUUGUCAUGCCAAUGGCACUGCCCGGUAGCUAAAUGCGGAAGAGAUAAGUGCUGAAAGCAUCUAAGCACGAAACUUGCCCCGAGAUGAG